CCCACUGUUCCCAGGCCGUCAUUGAAAAUAAGAAUUUGUUCUUAACUGACUUGUCUAGUUAAAUAAAUAAAAUAUGUAAAGAUUGAUAUGGAGAGAGGGACAGAGAGAGAUAAAGAGAGGAUAUGGAGGGAGGUGUGGGGGGGACUGUAUAUGGAGAGAGGGAUAGAGAGAGAUAAAGAGAGGAUAUGGAGAGAGGUGUGGGGGGGGACUGUAUAUGGAGAGAGGGAUAGAGAGAGAUAAAGAGAGGAUAUGGAGGGAGGUGGGGGGACUGUAUAUGGUAGAGAGGGAUAGAGAGAGAUAAAGAGAGGAUAUGGAGAGAGGUGUGGGGGGGGACUGUAUAUGGUAGAGAGGGAUAGAGAGAGAUAAAGAGAGGAUAUGGAGAGAGGUGUGGGGGGGGACUGUAUAUGGUAGAGAGGGAUAGAGAGAGAUAAAGAGAGGAUAUGGAGGGAGGUGUGGGGGGGACUGUAUAUGGAGAGGGAUAGAGAGAGAUAAAGAGAGGAUAUGGAGAGAGGUGUGGGGGGACUGUAUAUGGUAGAGAGGGAUAGAGAGAGAUAAAGAGAGGAUAUGGAGAGAGGUGUGGGGGGGGACUGUAUAUGGUAGAGAGGGAUAGAGAGAGAUAAAGAGGGGAUAUGGAGGGAGGUGUGUGGGGGGACUGUAUAUGGUAGAGAGGGAUAGAGAGAGAUAAAGAGUGGAUAUGGAGAGAGGGACAGAGAGAGAUAAAGAGGGGAUAUGGAGGGAGGUGUGGGGGGGACUGUAUAUGGAGAGAGGGAUAGAGAGAGAUAAAGAGAGGAUAUGGAGAGAGGUGUGGGGGGGGGGACUGUAUAUGGAGAGAGGGAUAGAGAGAGAUAAAGAGGGGAUAUGGAGAGAGGUGUGGGGGGGACUGUAUAUGAUAGAGAGGGAUAGAGAGAGAUAAAGAGAGGAUAUGGAGGGAGGUGUGGGGGGGACUGUAUAUGGAGAGAGGGAUAGAGAGAGAUAAAGAGAGGAUAUGGAGGGAGGUGUGUGGGGGGACUGUAUAUGAUAGAGAGGGAUAGAGAGAGAUAAAGAGAGGAUAUGGAGGGAGGUGUGUGGGGGGACUGUAUAUGAUAGAGAGGGAUAGAGAGAGAUAAAGAGAGGAUAUGGAGGGAGGUGUGUGGGGGGACUGUAUAUGAUAGAGAGGGAUAGAGAGAGAUAAAGAGAGGAUAUGGAGGGAGGUGUGGGGGGACUGUAUAUGAUAGAGAGGGAUAGAGAGAGAUAAAGAGAGGAUAUGGAGGGAGGUGUGUGGGGGACUGUAUAUGAUAGAGAGGGAUAGAGAGAGAUAAAGAGAGGAUAUGGAGAGAGGUGUGGGGGGGACUGUAUAUGGAGAGAGGGAUAGAGAGAGAUAAAGAGAGGAUAUGGAGAGAGGUGUGGGGGGGGACUGUAUAUGGAGAGAGGGAUAGAGAGAGAUAAAGAGAGGAUAUGGAGGGAGGUGUGGGGGGGGACUGUAUAUGGAGAGAGGGAUAGAGAGAGAUAAAGAGAGGAUAUGGAGGGAGGUGGUGGGGGGGGACUGUAUAUGGAGAGAGGGAUAGAGAGAGAUAAAGAGGGGAUAUGGAGGGAGGUGUGGGGGGGACUGUAUAUGGAGAGAGGGAUAGAGAGAGAUAAAGAGAGGAUAUGGAGGGAGGUGUGGGGGGGGACUGUAUAUGGUAGAGAGGGAUAGAGAGAGAUAAAGAGAGGAUAUGGAGGGAGGUGUGGGGGGGACUGUAUAUGGUAGAGAGAGAUAGAGAGAGAUAAAGAGGGGAUAUGGAGGGAGGUGUGGGGGGGGACUGUAUAUGGUAGAGAGGGAUAGAGAGAGAUAAAGAGAGGAUAUGGAGGGAGGUGUGGGGGGGGGACUGUAUAUGGUAGAGAGAGAUAGAGAGAGAUAAAGAGGGGAUAUGGAGGGAGGUGUGUGGGGGGACUGUAUAUGGAGAGAGGGAUAGAGAGAGAUAAAGAGAGGAUAUGGAGGGAGGUGUGGGGGGGGACUGUAUAUGGAGAGAGGGAUAGAGAGAGAUAAAGAGGGGAUAUGGAGAGAGGUGUGGGGGGGACUGUAUAUGGUAGAGAGGGAUAGAGAGAGAUAAAGAGGGGAUAUGGAGAGAGGUGUGGGGGGACUGUAUAUGGUAGAGAGGGAUAGAGAGAGAUAAAGAGGGGAUAUGGAGAGAGGUGUGGGGGGACUGUAUAUGGUAGAGAGAGAUAGAGAGAGGAUAUGGAGGGAGUGUGGGGGGACUGUAUAUGGUAGAGAGGGAUAGAGAGAGAUAAAGAGGGGAUAUGG
Molecule: long non-coding RNA, 2260 nt
Organism: Oncorhynchus keta (chum salmon)
Lineage: Eukaryota; Metazoa; Chordata; Actinopteri; Salmoniformes; Salmonidae
Exons: 15
Source: RefSeq, a predicted model, not a curated record